CAUAUACUCCCCCUGUUCGGAAAUACUUGUCAUAGAAAUGAAUGUAUUUAGAUGUAUUUUAAUUUUAGACACAUCUAUUUUUAUUUAUUUGUGUGACAAGUAAUUCCGGACGAAGGGAGUAAUAC
Hordeum vulgare subsp. vulgare (domesticated barley) is the source of this 125-nucleotide non-coding RNA. Lineage: Eukaryota; Viridiplantae; Streptophyta; Magnoliopsida; Poales; Poaceae. The record is from Rfam.